AUGGAGCACGGCAGUGGCCAAGACAAGUCACGAGCCGCAGCAACGAUGAGCAGAUGGCCAGAGGUCACAACCAGCUGCCAGACCCAGAGGGAUUCUCCUGAACCUUCCUCUUGCAGUCCUCACCAGGAGGGACAAUGCAGACCCAAACAAGAAGAUACGAGCAGAUACAAGUCACAGCUGGAAAACGAGGGGAAUGAUUUACACAUGAAUUUAUUUACACUCUCCGUGCGUGGAACCACGGCCUGCUCUGAAGCCUGGGGGACUUCUGUGGUUGGGCAAUGGAGCUCUCCAGUGGAAGAAGGCUCAGAGAAGAUAGGUGAGGAUGAUGUGCUCAUGAAGCUCAUAAAUACAUGUAGGAAGUAA
This 363-nucleotide long non-coding RNA is filed under the name Anser cygnoides (Swan goose). RNAcentral describes it as "lncRNA (ENSACDG00005013610.1)". Lineage: Eukaryota; Metazoa; Chordata; Aves; Anseriformes; Anatidae. The record is from RNAcentral.